CAGCAGCCGCGGGAAAACGAAGGGGGCUAGCGUUGUUCGGAUUUACUGGGCGUAAAGGGCGCGUAGGCAGACUGAUAAGUCAGGGGUGAAAUCCCAAGGCUCAACCUUGGAACUGCCUUUGAUACUGUUUGUCUUGAGUUCGAGAGAGGUAAGUGGAACUGCGAGUGUAGAGGUGAAAUUCGUAGAUAUUCGCAAGAACACCAGUGGCGAAGGCGGCUUACUGGCUCGAAACUGACGCUGAGGCGCGAAAGCGUGGGGAGCAAACAGGAUUAGAUACCCGUGUAGUCCCUGUCUCUAUACA
Molecule: ribosomal RNA, 301 nt
Filed under: uncultured bacterium
Lineage: Bacteria
Description: partial 16S ribosomal RNA
Rfam family: Bacterial small subunit ribosomal RNA
Source: RNAcentral